Molecule: ribosomal RNA, 482 nt
Filed under: uncultured bacterium
Lineage: Bacteria
Description: bacterial SSU rRNA
Rfam family: Bacterial small subunit ribosomal RNA
Source: RNAcentral
AAUCAACGCUGGCGGCGUGCCUCAGACAUGCAAGUCGAACGAUUAAAGCUCUCUUCGGAGAGUGUAUAGAGUGGCGCACGGGUGAGUAACACGUAAGUAAUCUACCCUCGAGUGGGGAAUAACAACCGGAAACGGUUGCUAAUACCGCAUAAUGCAGCGGCACCGCAAGGUGACAGUUGUUAAAGAUUUAUCGCUUGAGGAGGAGCUUGCGGCAGAUUAGCUAGUUGGUAGGGUAACGGCUUACCAAGGCUACGAUCUGUAACCGGUCUAAGAGGACGGUCGGUCACACUGACACUGAAUAACGGGUCAGACUCCUACGGGAGGCAGCAGUCGGGAAUUUUGGGCAAUGGGCGAAAGCCUGACCCAGCAACGCCGCGUGAAGGAUGAAGUAUUUCGGUAUGUAAACUUCGAAAGAAUAGGAAGAAUUAAUGACGGUACUAUUUAUAAGGUUCGGCUAACUACGUGCCAGCAGCCGCGGUAAU